GUGCCAGCCGCCGCGGUAACACCGGCGGCUCGAGUGGUAACCGUUAUUAUUGGGUCUAAAGGGUCUGUAGCCGGCCGGAUAAGUCUCUUGAGAAAUCUGGCAGCUUAACUGUCAGGCUUUCAGGAGAUACUGUCUGGCUCGAGGCCGGGAGAGGUGAGAGGUACUUCAGGGGUAGGGGUGAAAUCUUGUAAUCCUUGAAGGACCACCAGUGGCGAAGGCGUCUCACCAGAACGGACCUGACGGCAAGGGACGAAAGCUAGGGGCACGAACCGGAUUAGAUACCCGGGUAGUCCUAGCCGUAAACGAUACUCGCUAGGUGUCGGCCACGGUGCGACCGUUGUCGGUGCCGUAGGGAAGCCG
RNAcentral lists this ribosomal RNA (360 nucleotides) under uncultured archaeon. Its description in RNAcentral is "bacterial SSU rRNA". It matches the Rfam family "Archaeal small subunit ribosomal RNA", at positions 455 to 814 of the family's 1478-position model. The record is from RNAcentral.